AUCUGCGAUGGGUGCCUCUAGGGUCAAAACUCACCCUGUCCUGAUGGGAGAGGCAGUCCAGGUAGCAUCUAUGGACAGCACAGUCCUGCACAGGUAGGUACAUGGUGCUCGUCUAGAAGGUUAAUCCUGCAAGGCUUCCUGAUGAGCCCCCACCCCAUGGGGCCCAGGAGGGGCAACACUGGAGGAUCGACUACAGAAGGGGUUGUGGAAGGCAGAUGGGAACUGUGGCAAAGAGGAAUGCAGCCACCGUCGGAGCUGUGGCCAGGCAGAGGGAGCAGGAGCUUCAGUAUCCCACCUCUCUUUCAUCCUGUUCUCCAGUCUUCUGGGGACCUCCUUUUUGCUGAACCUAACAAAAGUCAGAGGACAAGGCUGACCCAGGGAUACAGUCUGUAGGGGUCAGCCCCCCCUCCCCCCAGGGAACAUAGCAGGAAAAUGAAUCUAAGAGGGGCAAACCAAGCCAGCAUGGUAGGAAAUUCUCUGUUGCUGUGGACAACGUGUCUGUCUCUCCCCAGAACUCGUGUCCACUAGCCUAGACAGAAGGUGUGGCUGUCUCCUAAACUAUCCCCUUACUUCCUUCAGGUCUUACCUCAAACAUCCUCUUAUCAGAGGGGCCUGCUUACAUCCUACAGAAAAUAGUACCACUCCCCCAUCACUGUUAACCUUACCCAGUUUAAUUCAGCAUAGCACCUGCCAAUGCUUGACAUGCGUUUACUUAUUGAUCUUUCCCGAGUAGAACAUAAGCUUGAGAGCAGAGCCAUUUUCUCUUUUCUUCACUGCUUUAUCUUCAAGCCCCCAGAACAGCGUCUGUGUUGUAGGGGAUGCUUGAUAAAUGUUGAUUGGCCAAAUGAAAAAAAAGUGCAAACAAGCAUGGGCAACCCGGCUUUUCCUGAAGACACUUUUGCUUUUGGCUUGACUCCCCCUUGCUGGCCAAGCCCUGGAAAGGCAUCAGUGGGUCAUUCCCCAAGUGUGUUCAUGCCUCAGCCCUUCUUUCUUAUCAACUGUGGGAGAGUUCUUAAAGUACAUUUUAUUUUUAAAGCAUUUCCGUUUAUGUCCCUGAAACCUCCAAGCACCCCUCUGAGCUAGACCCCAGGCAGUCAUUAGCCAUGUCUUUGGAUAAGCAAACUGAAUCAGAGAGGGUGGGUGACUUGCCAAAGAACACGUAGCUGGUAGCGUUAACUAGUGCCCAGGCACUGUGACUUACAAGGGCUGACCUGGGUUUGACAGCAGUGUUCUCACUGAUACUCCUUGAGAUUUAGGCCCAGCUCUCUGAGCUUGGGAGUGAAUGCCCUGUUCACCGAUGUUCCCCUUCCUGGGCUCGCUUCAGCAAAGGCAAUGAGGAUAAUUUCCAGGCCUUCUCUUCUCCUCACUACUCUUUUUUUUUUUUUGCGGUACGCGGGUCUCUCACUGUUGUGGCCUCUCCCGCUGCGGAGCACAGGCUCUGGACGCGCAGGCUCAGCGGCCAUGGCUUACGGGCCUAGCCGCUCCGCGGCAUGCGGGAUCUUCCCGGACCGGGGCACAAACCCGUGUCCCCUGCAUCGGCAGGCGGACUCUCAACCACUGCGCCACCAGGGAAGCCCUCCUCACUACUCUUGAAGCUUCAUGAAAGGGGUAAUGAGUCUUCUGGAUUUAGGAGAGAGCAGACUCCCAGAGUUCUGGCUCAGGACUCCCCCGAACUAGAGGCAUAGCUUCCCCACCACUCUGGUAACAAGGAGUGACCUCUCAUCUGUUGAGGUCUUGUGUACCGGUAUGUAUAUCUUUGUGACACCAUGAGCUUGGUGUCCACACCAGUGUACAUGCAUAUGCUCCUAUGCACAGACUGCUGCUGUACCAGUAUAGAAGGGUUCAUAAGAAAAGGUCAAGGAGGACCCAAAUCCUUGUGCCUCUCCUCCCUUGCUUUGUCCAAACAAAGAUGUGUUUAUAGUGAGGCUGCUGGACAUUGCUGUCUUGGGCUUUAGAGAGAGGCCAAACAUGCAAAAACAGUGUGGUGGUGUGGACAGACCUGGGGUUGAGUCCCAGCUUCUACACUUAACCACUGUAUGAACUUGGGCAAGUCAUUUGAUUCUGAGGUUUAAUUUCUUCAUCUAUAAUAUGGGGAUAAUACCUAUCUACCCUAAAGGGUGAUUAUGAGGGUCAAAUGACAUCAUGUAUGUGAAAGUGCUUUGAAACUGGAACAUGGUGAUGAUGAUGUGGCUGGUUAUUAGGGUCAGUGAUGAUAAAUCUUGGGGAAAGAAUAAAGGAUUCUGGGAAGUCAGGCCCCCCUGAAUCUCCCCUCGUGUCUCGUACUGGCCUUCUCCUGCAUUGUCCGAUUGUAUCAUAUUAUAGAGAAGGAAGUUAAGAUCCAGACAGGGAAACAAACUUACCUAAGGUCUCAUGGAUGUUCGGGUUAAUUGGGAUGUAGAACUUGGUCCCCUAACUCCCUGGCUGGUCUGAUCCUGAGGUGGUAGAGGGGACUAACUUAUCACUCGGUGCUAAGCCCCCUACUGAACUCUGAAAUGCUGUGUACUUGGUGAUGGUGUACACUUCAGUGGUUUUUAGUAUAUUCAAAUAGUUGUACAACCGUCACCACUAUCUAAUUCCAGAACAUUGUCAUCACUCCUCAAAGAAACCUUGCACCCAUCUGCAGUCACUCCUCAUUCUUCCUUCCCUCUAGCCCCUGUAAACCACUAAUGUGUUUUCUAUCACUGUGAAUUUGCCUAGUCUGGACAUUUCAUAUCAAUGGAAUCAUACAAUAUAUGGCCUUUUGUGUCUGGCUUCUUUCACUUAGCAUAAUGUUUUCAAGGUUCAUCUGUGUUGUAACAUUUAUCAGUACUUCGUUCCUUUUUCUGGCCAAGUAAUGUUCCACUGUGUGGCUAUAUCAUAUUUUGUCAUUUUGUUUAUGUAUCAGUUGAGUGACUUUUGGGUUGGUUCCACUUUUUGCCUGUUGUGACUAGUGCUGCUAUGGACAUUGAUGUAUAAGUUUUUGUGUGGACAGAUGUUUUCAAUUCUCUUGGGUCAUUUUUUCUUUUAAUGUCAGUUUACUUUUCUAUUUGAAAAAGAUCUAGAUUGAUAUUGGAAAAUUUUUUCUGUAAAGGGUCUGAUAGUAAGUAUUUUAGGCUUUGUGGGCCAUAUGACAUUGUGUAUGUUGUGUAUGUAGUUGUUCCAAUUACUGAACUCUGCCAUUGCAGCUUGAAAGCAGCCAUAGCCAGUAUGUAAACAAAUAAACAUGAAUGUGUUCCAGUAAAACUU
Molecule: long non-coding RNA, 3225 nt
Filed under: Phocoena sinus (vaquita)
Lineage: Eukaryota; Metazoa; Chordata; Mammalia; Artiodactyla; Phocoenidae
Description: lncRNA (ENSPSNG00000014778.1)
Source: RNAcentral